This 795-nucleotide ribosomal RNA is filed under the name uncultured bacterium. RNAcentral describes it as "bacterial SSU rRNA". It matches the Rfam family "Bacterial small subunit ribosomal RNA", at positions 8 to 803 of the family's 1533-position model. The record is from RNAcentral.
AGAGUUUGAUUAUGGCUCAGGACUUUCGCUGGCGGCGUGCUUAACACAUGCAAGUCGAACGACCCUCUACCGACGGAACUUUUCGGAGGGAAGAUGGUAAUGACUGAGUGGCGGACGGGUGAGUAACGCGUGGGCAACCCGCCCCAUGGAGGGGGACAACAGCUGGAAACGGCUGCUAAUACCGCAUAUCAAGGAGAGAGCGCAUGUUCUUUUCUUCAAAGAUUUAUCGCUAUGGGAUGGACCCGCGUCUGAUUAGCUGGUUGGUGAGGUAACGGCUCACCAAGGCGACGAUCAGUAGCCGGCUUGAGAGAGUGGACGGCCACAUUGGGACUGAGACACGGCCCAUACUCCUACGGGAGGCAGCAGUGGGGAAUAUUGCACAAUGGGGGAAACCCUGAUGCAGCGACGCCGCGGGAAUGAAGAAGUAUUUCGGUAUGUAAAGCUCUAUCAGCAGGGAAGAUAAUGACGGUACCUGACUAACAAGCCCCGGCUAACUACGUGCCAGCAGCCGCGGUAAUACGUAGGGGGCAAGCGUUAUCCGGAUUUACUGGGUGUAAAGGGAGCGUAGGUGGCAGGGCAAGUCAGAUGUGAUAACCCGGGGCUCAACCCCGGGAGUGUAUUUGAAUCUGUCCAUCUGGAGUGCACGAUAGGUGACCGGAAUUCCCACUGUAGCGGUGAAUUUGCAUAUAUAUUAAGAGGAACCCCAAUGUCUAAAGCAGCUUACUGGUAUUAAACCCGAAAUAGAUGCUCUAAAGUUCGUUUACCACCUAAGAUUAAAUACCCCGGUUCUCCCCU